This 340-nucleotide ribosomal RNA is filed under the name uncultured eukaryote. RNAcentral's name for it is "partial 18S ribosomal RNA". It matches the Rfam family "Eukaryotic small subunit ribosomal RNA", at positions 1470 to 1796 of the family's 1831-position model. The record is from RNAcentral.
CCCUUAGAUGUUCGGGGCCGCACGCGCGCUACACUGAAGGACUCAGCGUGUCUCUCCCCCUAUCCCGAAAGGGAUGGGCAACCCGUUGAACCUCCUUCGUGCUAGGGGUUGGGGUUUGCAAUUAUCCCCCAUGAACGAGGAAUUCCCAGUAAGCGCGAGUCAUCAGCUCGCGUUGAUUACGUCCCUGCCCUUUGUACACACCGCCCGUCGCUACUACCGAUUGGAUGGUUUAGUGAGACCCUCGGAUCGGUCCCGACUCGGGGUGGGCUUCUGCCCCGGUCGUGGUUUCGCCGAGAAGACGGUCAAACUUGACUAUCUAGAGGAAGUAAAAGUCGUAACA